RNAcentral lists this long non-coding RNA (813 nucleotides) under Homo sapiens (human). Its description in RNAcentral is "non-protein coding lnc-MTMR4-2:1". The record is from RNAcentral. Lineage: Eukaryota; Metazoa; Chordata; Mammalia; Primates; Hominidae.
AUGGGCGUCCGCUGCCAAAAUCAGUAAAAAGGAGCUCAACUCCAACCACUACAGGGCCGACGAGACCUCAGGAAAAAAAAAACAGCAAGAAGCAAUUGAACACAUUGAUGAAAUCCAAAAUGAAAUAGACAGACUUAAUGAACAAGCCAGUGAGGAGAUUUUGAAAGUAGAACAGAAAUAUAACAAACUCCGCCAACCAUUUUUUUCAGAAGAGAUCAGAAUUGAUCGCCAAAAUCCCACAUUUUUGGAUAACAACAUUUGUCAACCAUCCACAAGUGUCUGCACUGCUUGGGGAGGAGGACGAAGAGGCACUGCAUUAUUUGACCAGAGUUGAAGUGACAGAAUUCGAAGAUAUUAAAUCAGGUUACAGAAUAGAUUUUUAUUUUGAUCAAAAUCCUUACCUUGAAAAUAAAGUUCUGUCCAAAGAAUUUCAUCUGAAUAAGAGUGGUGAUCCAUCUUCAAAGUCCACUGAAAUCAAAUGGAAAUCUGGAAUGGAUUUGACAAAGCGUUCAAGUUAAACUCAGAAUAAAGCCGGCAGGAAGAGGCAGCAUGAGGAACCAGGGAGCUUCUUUACCUGAUUUACUGACCAUUCUGAUGCAGGUACUGAUGAGUUAGGAGAGGUCAUCAAAGAUGGUAUUUGGCCAAACCCAUUACAGUACCACUUGGUUCCUGAUAUGGAUGAUGAAGAAGGAGAAGAAGAUGAUGAUGAUGAAGAGAAGGAAGGAUUAGAAGAUAUUGAUUAGAAGGAAAUGAGGAAGAUGAAGAAGAUGAAGAUGAUGAUGAAGGGGAGGAAGGAGAGAAGGAUGAAGGAGA